RNAcentral lists this ribosomal RNA (524 nucleotides) under uncultured bacterium. RNAcentral describes it as "partial 16S ribosomal RNA". It matches the Rfam family "Bacterial small subunit ribosomal RNA", at positions 28 to 523 of the family's 1533-position model. The record is from RNAcentral.
GACGAACGCUGGCGGCGUGCCUAAUACAUGCAAGUCGAGCGCAGGAAAUCGACGGAACCCUUCGGGGGGAAGUCGACGGAAUGAGCGGCGGACGGGUGAGUAACACGUAAAGAACCUGCCCUCAGGUCUGGGAUAACCACGAGAAAUCGGGGCUAAUACCGGAUGGGUCAUCGGACCGCAUGGUCCGAGGAUGAAAGGCGCUUCGGCGUCGCCUGGGGAUGGCUUUGCGGUGCAUUAGCUAGUUGGUGGGGUAAUGGCCCACCAAGGCGACGAUGCAUAGCCGACCUGAGAGGGUGAUCGGCCACACUGGGACUGAGACACGGCCCAGACUCCUACGGGAGGCAGCAGUAGGGAAUCUUCCACAAUGGACGAAAGUCUGAUGGAGCAACGCCGCUUGAACGAUGAAGGCCUUCGGGUCGUAAAGUUCUGUUGUAAGGGAAGAACAAGUGCCGCAGGCAACGGCGGCACCUUGACGGUACCUUGCGAGAAAGCCACGGCUAACUACGUGCCAGCCGCCGCCGUAA